RNAcentral lists this long non-coding RNA (887 nucleotides) under Ananas comosus (pineapple). RNAcentral describes it as "long non-coding RNA (ACOM_LNC043316)". The record is from RNAcentral. Lineage: Eukaryota; Viridiplantae; Streptophyta; Magnoliopsida; Poales; Bromeliaceae.
GCGGAUUUGUCGGCACACCCGGGGAAAGUGUAAUCCGGGGCGUGACAGAUUAAGUUGGUAUCAGAGCUUUGCUAUAGGUCGUUGGGACCUAGGAAACCUAAGUUUGGCAAACCUUAGGAAAGCAAGACGUGAGAGGCGUAAUUUUAUUGCGAAAGUCAAUGAUUGUUUGUUCUAACUGCUCCUAGAGUGGAGUGAGUGACUGAGGGAGUUCCUGUUUUGGCCUGAGAAAUUAUGUUGGCUGCAGACGACAUAAUUUUAGAGGAAAAACAGGGACCGCCUUCUAGACUUUCGUUCGAUUGGGUCGAGAGUGUUUGGUUGUAUCUGACCCCGAUUUGUUCCUUUCAGCUAUGUUUCGUCGCCGAGGUCGACCGUCGUUGCGGGAGCGUGCGCAGUUGGCGCAGGAUCGUGCUAGAUCUCCCGAGAUGCCUGAGCAGGCAGAGGCGAGUGUACCCCGAGUUGUAGAGCAGAGGGCCUGACCGGAGGCGACUGCAUCCCCAGAUUUGAGUGCACAGUUGGUUGCCCUGACUGAGGUGACGAGACAGCAGGGGGAGCUAUUGCAGAGGUUGUGCGAGAGGAUAGCUCAGCCACCGAGUUCUGUACCGAGGGCACCAGAGUCACCAGUUCCACCCCCGACUACUCCAGUGACAGCACCAGCUGCAGCAGUUCCUCCAUCGGCAGCAGUUCCAGUAGCGCCAGUUGCGCCUGCUAGGGGGCCAGUACCGUUGACUGAGGCCGAGCAGGAGCGGUGGAUGGAGAGGUUAGCUCGUUUCCGCCGAUUUGAUCCACCGAUCUUCGAUGGCAGAGGCACUGAGGCCUGGAUUGUUGAGGGAUGGGUCAGUGCGAUGGAGAAGUUAUUCGAGGAUCUGUUCGUUCCAGAGGGGGAGCAN